This 314-nucleotide long non-coding RNA is filed under the name Lathyrus oleraceus (garden pea). RNAcentral describes it as "Pisum sativum (pea) long non-coding RNA (PSAT_LNC026949)". Lineage: Eukaryota; Viridiplantae; Streptophyta; Magnoliopsida; Fabales; Fabaceae. The record is from RNAcentral.
GUAAUCGUGAAGACACUUACUAUCUUCGAUGGGAGCCUAUGACACUGGGGACCGUAGUUACCUUAACACCACUUUGGCCUUAUAUAGGACGUAGUGCGGGGACUAUGAGGGAGUAAUCCCAAAAUAGUUGCUACGCGAUACCACACUCAAAAGAGGUUCUCUUGAGAAUAUUAUUAACCACCGAGUCAAUUGGGAAAUUGAUAAUAUCCGAAAGAUGGACUGAUGACUUUGGGCACCGAUUUAGAACCCUUGUUCCGCAGGUACAAUUAACCCUAUAGUACAUACCUCUGUGGGAUGGGUAGACCUUGACUUCC